This 274-nucleotide ribosomal RNA is filed under the name uncultured bacterium. RNAcentral describes it as "partial 16S ribosomal RNA". It matches the Rfam family "Bacterial small subunit ribosomal RNA", at positions 523 to 796 of the family's 1533-position model. The record is from RNAcentral.
CUACGGAGGGUGCAAGCGUUGUUCGGAAUUACUGGGCGUAAAGCGCGCGUAGGCGGCUUGUUAAGUCAGAUGUGAAAGCCCACAGCUCAACUGUGGAAGUGCAUUUGAAACUGGCAGGCUUGAGUACUGGAGGGGAUGGUGGAAUUCCCGGUGUAGAGGUGAAAUUCGUAGAUAUCGGGAGGAAUACCGGUGGCGAAGGCGACCAUCUGGCCAGAUACUGACGCUGAGGUGCGAAAGCGUGGGGAGCAAACAGGAUUAGAAACCCCAGUAGUCC